UACGUAGGGGGCAAGCGUUGUCCGGAUUUACUGGGUGUAAAGGGUGCUCAGGCGGGUUUGUAAGUCAGAGGUGAAACUCCGAAGCUUAACUUCGGAACUGCCUUUGAUACUGCAAUCCUAGAGUUUGAGAGAGGCGAGUGGAAUAUCUGGUGUAGCAGUGAAAUGCGUAGAUAUCAGAUAGAACACCAAUGGCGAAGGCAGCUCGCUGGCUCAUAACUGACGCUAAAGCACGAAAGUGUGGGUAGCAAACAGG
Molecule: ribosomal RNA, 253 nt
Filed under: uncultured bacterium
Lineage: Bacteria
Description: partial 16S ribosomal RNA
Rfam family: Bacterial small subunit ribosomal RNA
Source: RNAcentral